Acanthosepion pharaonis is the source of this 114-nucleotide non-coding RNA. Lineage: Eukaryota; Metazoa; Mollusca; Cephalopoda; Sepiida; Sepiidae. The record is from the annotation of a GenBank genome assembly.
UUACGGCCACAUCACAUUAAAACACCGGUUCCGGAACGAUCACCGAAGUUAAGCAGCGUCGAGCCUGGUCAGCAUAUAGAUGGGUAACCGCUUGGGAAUACUAGGAGCUGUAAG